This 24-nucleotide non-coding RNA is filed under the name Arabidopsis thaliana (thale cress). The record is from RNAcentral. Lineage: Eukaryota; Viridiplantae; Streptophyta; Magnoliopsida; Brassicales; Brassicaceae.
UCCUGAGUUAGAGCAGAUCCUGGA